Molecule: long non-coding RNA, 4591 nt
Organism: Triticum aestivum (bread wheat)
Lineage: Eukaryota; Viridiplantae; Streptophyta; Magnoliopsida; Poales; Poaceae
Exons: 3
Source: RefSeq, a predicted model, not a curated record
CCAGCGGCUGACCACAAACAUCCAAAUGCGUUCGCCUCCUUUGCCCAAAACAUUCGCUGCCAUGGCCUAGGCACCGCCGCCGCCGCCGCCGCCGCCGUCUCCACCCGCACCCUCCCCCUUCCAAUCCUCUCCGUGGUCCAUGGCGCCGCCGUCGCCGCCGUGUGUCUCAGAGAGGCUGCCGUCCAAGGGAAACGCCGGGAACCGACCCGAGCAGUGUGGGAGCGCCUCCUCUAUACUCUCCCCAAUCCCGCCGAUGCUCUUUUCAGCCCCUCUGCCGCCGCCGUCCAAGGCAAUCUCUGGAGCGAGUCGAGCCUUGCGGGGAACCGGGGACGCCUCCUCUCCGCCGCUGUCCAAGGGAAUCUCCGGGAGCGAGCCGAGCAACUUGCCGCUGCUUUGUGGAUUUUGUUAUUUCCUGGACUACGAUGAAUGCUACUCUGAAUUUAUGCUGAUGAAUCUGUUUAUUUGCUCCGUACUGAAUGAUCGGAGGGGUAAUAAUUCGGCAUGUACUAAUGGCAUUGCAUAUCAUUUUGCUUUGUAAAUAUCAGUUUGCUUUGUGUAAAUAUGUAGCACUAUGUGAGCAUAAUUGGUUUAGUGCCAAAUUGGCAUGCCAAUGUUUGGCAUUGUGCCAAAUAUUGGCUACUAAUUGGUUGGUUAUGAACUUGUCUUGCCUUCUCACAUAAAGUUGCCAAUAUUGGCAAGUCUUGAUAUUGUCAAUAUUUGGCAAUGCCAACAUUUGGCUAGCCAAAUAUUGGCAACAAACCAAGCAUAAGAAGUGGUGGUCAGAGCACCACGAAGUCCAGCGAGCUGUCCAUUUACAUCCUGAACCAUACUGCAAGGGGUCUGGACCGGGGACAUUUUGGAACGGCAACUUCAUACAGCUCCAUGAAAUUUACAGAAAGAUUUUAUUUUGUGGAAGCUUAGAAACCAGCGAGUUGGGCAUCAGUGCAUAGUAGUCGACUCUCUGUUGUUGGUCGUGUAGAUGCUAGGUGUAGCAGGUUCGGAAGAACUAUGAUCUUCCAUAAUGUGUGCAACGGGGACAGUGUUCAUGUCAUUUCAUAGUUAUGCAUUUUCUGUGAUCCUAAAAUUAGAACUAAUGCUAGCUUCUGCAAAUGGAACAUUCAGAUAUACAAUAGGGAAGAAAAAUUGCGACCCCAUCUUGAUGUUGGUGGAGGUAUAUGUGCUACAAGUCGCUCGACCCCAUGUCGGCACUCGAGGUCUUGGUGUUGGUUGUUUUGGAUUCCGGGGUAGCAAUCCAUCACACUGCUCCUCACCUUUGUACGUGAUGCUCCCUUUUGAAAAUUCUUUCAGAGAAGGAGCAUAUUCCAAUGAAAGGUACAUACGUGCAUCAUCAAUAUUUCCGUUUGAAAGGAUUUCCAAAAUUCAUUCAGGUAGGUCGCCUGUUUUUACUUCAGAAGUUCAGAUUGAUCUAGGUACGCUAUAUAAAAAAUGUAUAACAUACUUAUAAGUUGGUUUAUUCACUUUCCUAGCUACAAUUACUUCUUCAACAUGUAGUCUGCUGCUGCGUUGCCUCACGUGUGCGUGUGCGACUUGCGUGUAUGGUGUGUCUGCUUCAUGUGUGUGUACUAGCUAGCUAGGCGAAGGUCUCAUGCUAUAUGGUUUUAUCCAAUUGAUACAUCUUCAGAAUUCUGCACAGUUAAAAUUUUCUUAUUGUUUUGCAUUGUAACAGAUGUCUGAUUAACAUGCAUGACUGACUCACUCUUCUGUCAGCAUCCACAUCUUCUAUGGACAUCCGGUGGAUGGUGUUUCUAUGAUCAUUUAGAAGAAAACCUAGAGCUUGCACGGGCUCUGCAAAAAAAUCUGAAAGAUGAACAUCCCUUUGUCACAAUGUUCUGGUGGGGGAUGUUCUCAGAUAGUACUCCAUCAGUUCAUUUCAACGACAUUUAGUUGUGGCUAUUUUCUUUUUUUAUCAACAAAUAACUUAAAAGUAAACAAAGAAGUGACUACCUGAAGCUAUACAUAUGGGUGGUGCUUGAAGCCAGAUCGAUCUGGGUGAGGAAGUUGACAAAGAGAUGGUGGACUCCCAGGAAGGUGAUGCUACUGCAGGGUGGUGUGGUGGCCAGCAGCCGAGGGGCAUAUCUCCAGGAGGUGGAUGUGUGGUGUAGCCGCCGCAGCACUGCAACUGUGGUGGCAUAUUCACACAGUCCACCAGCCAGGCGAGCGAUGUGAGCCCACGCAACACCAAGUCCUUUUGGUCAGAGUUGCUAGCGAAGCAAAUGCAAAGAUCGAACGACAUGGCUGGAUACAACCAAGGAUAAAUUACGUCAAGUUGAAUGUUGACGGGGCUUUUGACCCGGACUUACUCCAAGGUUCUUAUGGAGUUGUUAUUAGAGACUCAAGUGGCAAGUUUAUUGCGGCGGGAAACGGGAAAAUUGAAUGGUGUGGUGAUGCUCUUAUGGCUGAGGCAAUGGCUCUGCGGUUUGGUCUCAACCUAGCUACAACUGUCGGAUGCAAUCGCAUAGAAGUGAAUUCUGAUAACGUUGAAGUGAUUGAGGCGAUGAAAAAUGGUGGACAAUCAUUUGGAAUUGCGGCAGCAAUCUUUGAUGAUAGCUAUCAUAUUGCUUGUGAUUUCCCACAUAUUAUUUUGAGCAUAUUCCUAGGGAGUCAAACUGUGUUGCCCAUGAUCUAGCUAGUCUAGCUAGGAGUAAGGUGUGUUCUGGGUGGAUGGAUGUACAACCCAAUGAGAUUACUGCUUCUCUUGUGAAUGAUGCUACUUUGAUCACCUUGCAAUAAAGAAUUUUAGAUGUAAUAAAAAAGUCCUUUCGAUCGGUCAGAUGACUGGGUUGUCGCCGGCCGUAGCCUCUUGUACGAUAUAUCUCUUGCUCUUCCACUGGAGACCAUAAUCAAAGGUAAGCACUAUUCCACUUUUCUAUUUGUGUGUAGUUAUUUCUGCUGACUACCCAAAAAGUAGUAGUAAUAAUCUUUAGAGAAGAGCUUCAUGCACUCUCUGUUCUCCAUUUUUCCCGGUUUCUAUAUAAAGCUGAGAAAAUUAUAUGACCCUAUUGCACAUGUGUCUCUGAAGACAAACGCCUAGAUUACAUCAGCAGUUCAUUCAGAAUUCGUUAUAUCAUACAAUUAUGCGGUCAUACAUUAGUUAUUGAGGUCAUGUUUUGAUGUUACUAUUUUUUUACUACGUGUAUUAUUUUUCUCAGUCAUUACUACCUUUUGCAUUUCGAAGGAUAGGUACAAAGGCAUACGAAAGCUGAACUGGUUAUACUGUAGGUAUUGAUGCUUCCAUGUUAAAGCAAUUUGCACUGCGUGUAGUGCUUUUAUCCAGUCAUUGUUGCCUUCUGGUAUAGCAGAUUAAUUUUGCAGAACACCCAAAAAUAUACACUGGUCCCAAAAGUUAGUACAGACGUAUGAAAACCUUUUAGUUACUUGGAUAUAGUUUCACAAUAUAUUUGUUUUACUUUGUGGGAGCAAAAUCGUUAGAUAACAGAUAUAAGGAUUGAUCUUGAAAAAAACAAACUAUAUCCAACUCUCUGAUCCUUCCAGAAUAAUUUUGAAGUAUGGAAGGACCAUUUCUAAAGGACCUUUAAGUGGGCAAUCAUACAGAUGGAAGCUCAUAGUUCCAUUUGCUAGGAUAUGGGAGGUGAAGAACUCCGGCACAGGAGCUGUCUAUGAGAUCAACUUUGUCAUGUUGGAUAGUUAAGUUAUUACUCUAUACCAUGUUUCACCAAAAAGAAAAAGGGGAUAUGAUCUCCAAUUGUUUGCAUAUUCGUGCAUUACCCACAUUGCAUUCGUCCAUCCGGGAGGCGCAAUGGAAUUGUUGGUGCCAGAAGAAAGGGUGUGGCAAUUCAGAGAUCGGCUUACAGAAGGAUGCAUGUAUACAAUAUUAAUUGCCAGUAUAUGAUUUAUUGACACGCCUUGCACCACAGGCAUGUUUUUUUUUCCAACCCAUCAUCAUCCAGAGAUUGACAAAGUGCGUGAAAGUAAGGAACUGAUUUCUACUUUUCCUUCUACGACUUAUAAAUAUAAUCGCCUAUUCUUCAGAGCUUUUGCUCUGUUUGUUUCCACCAAUUCUACUGUUCUAACAUUUCUAGCACUUAGUUUAAUACUCUCUCUCUCUCCCCCUCUCUCUCUUAACUUCUUUUCCAAAAGAAAGGCAGGACGCUUGCAAUAUUGACAUUUUCCAUAGCUAUAAGCAUUUGAAUUUCAGCUCUACUUUGCUCUUCUAUUCGCAGGUUGAAGCUAUAAGGCAGUCAACCAAGUUGUUGAAGCGGGAGUACUCUGUCGUGUCCACCAGUCCACAUGGAGCUGCUGCUACUACUGCCGCUGCUGAAAAUGGCGGUGCUACCAUCAGGAGGCUGAGGCAUUCUUCAGUGGGUCAGGGUGCAUUGGUUGUUCAGCAAAUGUGCAUCUUUGUAGUCUGAGAUUGUUGUUAUACAGAUGUAAGUUCCAAUAGCCUCUGAUAUUUGAUUCAAUUUUUAGGCUAAAACUAGCAGUCUUUGUUCAGUUUUGUAUCUCACUCUAUAAGAUUAGACUGAAAUAGUUGCUUGGAAUAACCUGAUGUGCUAGGAAACAAGGAAAUAUAUUUCUUAAUGGGAAAUAGAGGCAACAUUUUUCUCCAUUA